RNAcentral lists this ribosomal RNA (520 nucleotides) under uncultured Glomus. Its description in RNAcentral is "SSU rRNA". It matches the Rfam family "Eukaryotic small subunit ribosomal RNA", at positions 569 to 1092 of the family's 1831-position model. Lineage: Eukaryota; Fungi; Glomeromycota; Glomeromycetes; Glomerales; Glomeraceae. The record is from RNAcentral.
AGCAGCCGCGGUAAUUCCAGCUCCAAUAGCGUAUAUUAAAGUUGCUGCAGUUAAAAAGCUCGUAGUUGAAUUUCGGGACCAUCAUGUCGGUCGUGCCUCGGUACGUACCGGUAUUGUUGGUUUCUCCCUUCUGACGAACCAUGAUGUCAUUUAUUUGGUGUUGUGGGAAAUCAGGACUGUUACUUUGAAAAAAUUAGAGUGUUUAAAGCAGGCUCACGCUUGAAUACAUUAGCAUGGAAUAAUGAAAUAGGACGUUUGAUUCUAUUUUGUUGGUUUCUAGGAUCGACGUAAUGAUUAAUAGGGAUAGUUGGGGGCAUUAGUAUUCAAUUGUCAGAGGUGAAAUUCUUGGAUUUAUUGAAGACUAACUACUGCGAAAGCAUUUGCCAAGGAUGUUUUCAUUAAUCAAGAACGAAAGUUAGGGGAUCGAAGACGAUCAGAUACCGUCGUAGUCUUAACCAUAAACUAUGCCGACUAGGGAUCGGAUGAUGUUAAUUUUUAAUGACUCAUUCGGCGCCUUAAC